Molecule: transfer-messenger RNA, 368 nt
Filed under: Bacteroidota (CFB group bacteria)
Lineage: Bacteria; Pseudomonadati
Also listed under: 1 other name
Description: JAGWAZ01 sp021296135 Standard tmRNA
Rfam family: transfer-messenger RNA
About the family: Bacterial tmRNA, also known as 10Sa RNA or SsrA, is named for its dual tRNA and mRNA-like properties. Its role is to liberate the mRNA from a stalled ribosome.
Source: RNAcentral
GGGGAUGCUGUGGUUUCGACGGGGAGAAGAUGUCGUGCGGUUGCGCUGUCGCGCUUGCUCAUUGGGCGCGUUAUCCCACAAUGAGCGAACUGUAAGUGCGGACUCAUACGAGUACCGUCUCGCUGCGUAAUUAACCCAGCGUGCAUCCGCCCGGAACUUGUCUGUCGGUUUCGGAAGCGGGUGUCGAUUUUGACAGACUGGCUUGCAUAACGAGUGGAGGUUAUGUGAGCGAGACCUUAUCCACUGGCUUGCUUGAAGCCCCGUCAAUCGGGAUGACGGUGAGUGAGAUUCAAAUAGAUUGACUAUGCAGCGUAGAGGCCUCACGAGUCACUCUUCGGACGCGGGUUCGACUCCCGCCAUCUCCACAA